Molecule: ribosomal RNA, 666 nt
Filed under: Athelia abscondita
Lineage: Eukaryota; Fungi; Basidiomycota; Agaricomycetes; Atheliales; Atheliaceae
Description: partial large subunit ribosomal RNA
Rfam family: Eukaryotic large subunit ribosomal RNA
Source: RNAcentral
GCGUCCGAGUUGUAAUCUGGAGAAGCGUUUUCCGCGUCGGACCGUGUACAAGUCUUCUGGAACGGAGCGUCAUAGAGGGUGAGAAUCCCGUCUCUGACACGGACUACCGAUGCUUUUGUGAUGCGCUCUCGAAGAGUCGAGUUGUUUGGGAAUGCAGCUCAAAAUGGGUGGUAAAUUCCAUCUAAAGCUAAAUAUUGGCCAGAGACCGAUAGCGAACAAGUACCGUGAGGGAAAGAUGAAAAGCACUUUGGAAAGAGAGUUAAACAGUACGUGAAAUUGUUGAAAGGGAAACGCUUGAAGUCAGUCGCGUUGGCCGAGACUCAGCCUGGCUUGCCUGGUGUACUUCUCGGUUGACGGGUCAGCAUCAGUUUUGACCGUCGGAUAAAGGUUGGAGGAAUGUGGCAUCCCUCGGGAUGUGUUAUAGCCUCUGAUUCGCAUACGGCGAUUGGGACUGAGGAACUCAGCACGCCUUUAUGGUCGGGGUUCGCCCACGUAACGUGCUUAGGAUGCUGGCAUAAUGGCUUUAAGCGACCCGUCUUGAAACACGGACCAAGGAGUCUAACAUGCCCGCGAGUGUUUGGGUGUUAAACCCGAGCGCGUAAUGAAAGUGAAAGUUGAGAUCCCUGUCGUGGGGAGCAUCGACGCCCGGACCAGACCUUCUGUGAC